RNAcentral lists this ribosomal RNA (430 nucleotides) under uncultured Enterobacteriaceae bacterium. RNAcentral's name for it is "bacterial SSU rRNA". It matches the Rfam family "Bacterial small subunit ribosomal RNA", at positions 956 to 1386 of the family's 1533-position model. Lineage: Bacteria; Pseudomonadati; Pseudomonadota; Gammaproteobacteria; Enterobacterales; Enterobacteriaceae. The record is from RNAcentral.
UUAACGCGAAGGACCUUACCUACUCUUGACAUCCAGAGAACUUAGCAGAGAUGCUUUGGUGCCUUCGGGAACUCUGAGACAGGUGCUGCAUGGCUGUCGUCAGCUCGUGUUGUGAAAUGUUGGGUUAAGUCCCGCAACGAGCGCAACCCUUAUCCUUUGUUGCCAGCGGUCCGGCCGGGAACUCAAAGGAGACUGCCAGUGAUAAACUGGAGGAAGGUGGGGAUGACGUCAAGUCAUCAUGGCCCUUACGAGUAGGGCUACACACGUGCUACAAUGGCAUAUACAAAGAGAAGCGACCUCGCGAGAGCAAGCGGACCUCAUAAAGUAUGUCGUAGUCCGGAUUGGAGUCUGCAACUCGACUCCAUGAAGUCGGAAUCGCUAGUAAUCGUGGAUCAGAAUGCCACGGUGAAUACGUUCCCGGGUCUUGUAC